Molecule: transfer RNA, 57 nt
Filed under: Capra hircus (goat)
Lineage: Eukaryota; Metazoa; Chordata; Mammalia; Artiodactyla; Bovidae
Also listed under: 1 other name
Rfam family: tRNA
About the family: Transfer RNA (tRNA) molecules are approximately 80 nucleotides in length. Their secondary structure includes four short double-helical elements and three loops (D, anti-codon, and T loops).
Source: Rfam by way of RNAcentral
UAUCUCAGCAGGUAAAGAAUCUGCCUGCAAUGCAGGAGACCCUGGUUCAAUUCCUGG